AUGCACGCUGGCGGCGUGCCUAAUACAUGCAAGUCGAGCGAACGGACGAGAAGCUUGCUUCUCUGAUGUUAGCGGCGGACGGGUGAGUAACACGUGGAUAACCUACCUAUAAGACUGGGAUAACUUCGGGAAACCGGAGCUAAUACCGGAUAAUAUUUUGAACCGCAUGGUUCAAAAGUGAAAGACGGUCUUGCUGUCACUUAUAGAUGGAUCCGCGCUGCAUUAGCUAGUUGGUAAGGUAACGGCUUACCAAGGCAACGAUGCAUAGUCGACCUGAGAGGGUGAUCGGCCACACUGGAACUGAGACACGGUCCAGACUCCUACGGGAGGCAGCAGUAGGGAAUCUUCCGCAAUGGGCGAAAGCCUGACGGAGCAACGCCGCGUGAGUGAUGAAGGUCUUCGGAUCGUAAAACUCUGUUAUUAGGGAAGAACAUAUGUGUAAGUAACUGUGCACAUCUUGACGGUACCUAAUCAGAAAGCCACGGCUAACUACGUG
Molecule: ribosomal RNA, 496 nt
Filed under: uncultured bacterium
Lineage: Bacteria
Description: partial 16S ribosomal RNA
Rfam family: Bacterial small subunit ribosomal RNA
Source: RNAcentral